Molecule: non-coding RNA, 30 nt
Filed under: Homo sapiens (human)
Lineage: Eukaryota; Metazoa; Chordata; Mammalia; Primates; Hominidae
Source: RNAcentral
UAAAACUUCAGGCUUUGAAGCAGGGUACCU